GAUGAACGCUGGCGGCGUGGAUAAGGCAUGCAAGUCGAACGACCCUUGUGUUUACAUAAGGGGAGUGGCAAACGGGGUAGUAACAGGUAGGUACAUACACAUGAGUCAGGGAUAACUGCGGGAAACCGUAGCUAAUACCUGAUAGUUCUCUACGGAGUAAAGAUUUAUCGCUCAUGAAAUGGCCUGCUCGGUAUCAGCUAGUUGGUAGUGUAAAAGACUACCAAGGCUAUGACGCCUAGGGGAGGUGAGAGCCUGACCCCCACCAUUGGAACUGAGACACGGUCCAA
Molecule: ribosomal RNA, 287 nt
Filed under: uncultured bacterium
Lineage: Bacteria
Description: partial 16S ribosomal RNA
Rfam family: Bacterial small subunit ribosomal RNA
Source: RNAcentral